CCCUGGUUAGCUCAGUUGGUAGAGCGCUCCACCAGUAAUGGAGAGGUCGCGGGUUCGAUCCACUGACCAGGCG
This 73-nucleotide transfer RNA is filed under the name Ixodes scapularis (black-legged tick). It matches the Rfam family "tRNA". Rfam says of the family: Transfer RNA (tRNA) molecules are approximately 80 nucleotides in length. Their secondary structure includes four short double-helical elements and three loops (D, anti-codon, and T loops). Lineage: Eukaryota; Metazoa; Arthropoda; Arachnida; Ixodida; Ixodidae. The record is from Rfam by way of RNAcentral.